This is an RNA transcript of Ricinus communis (castor bean), 2007 nucleotides long. RefSeq lists it as uncharacterized. NCBI's taxonomy places the organism in Eukaryota, Viridiplantae, Streptophyta, Magnoliopsida, Malpighiales, Euphorbiaceae. The annotation marks the transcript as partial. The transcript is spliced from 5 exons. The record is from RefSeq and is a predicted model, not a curated record.
CUAAAGGAGAGGAGAUCCCGGUCAUUAAUGCGGUGAAUGGCUCGAGAGAGCAAGUACAAGGAGUGUGUUUGUGCUGCAAUUCAUAAAAAACAUGCAGCUGCUGAGAGAAAGCGAUUUGGAUUUCUAGAGGCAAAAAAGAAAAGGGCUUGUGCCAGGGUGUUGCAAGUCAGGCGAGUGGCUAAUUCUGUCUCUCACCAACGCGAGAUAGAGAGACGGAGAAUGAGGGACCAGUUGGAAAAUCGAAUGCAGAGGGCAAAGAGGCAAAAAGCAGAAUAUCUGAGGCAGAGAGGAAGGCAGUAGAGUCCUGUUCGAGUGAAUUGGAAUCGAAUGCACAAGCAGGCUGAUCUCCUUUCCAGAAAAUUGGCAAGGUGCUGGAGGCAGUUUCUUAGGUCGAGGAGAACUACGUUUGACUUGGCAGAGAACUAUGAGGCUUUGAACAUAAAUGAGAGCUCUAUUAAGUCAAUGCCAUUUGAGCAGCUGGCUCGUUUGAUUGAAUAUACUACAACUCUGUAGACUGUCAAAGCGCUGCUUGAUCGACUUGAGAGCCGCUUUAGAGUCUCUAGGCUUGUUGGCAGCAAUCAGUCAGUCAGAUGGGAUAAUAUUGAUCACCUUCUGAAAAGAGUAGCCACUCCCAGGAAAAGGACUACUCCGAGGACUUCUGUGAGGAGCACAGAAGCAAAGAAAGUAGGUGGUAUCAGGGAGGCAGCUAAAAGUCCAGUUAAAUUGUUGAGAUAUCCAGUGAGAAUAUUUCUUUGUGCCUACAUGAUUAUGGGUCAACCUGAUGCAGUUUUCAGCAGUCAAGGAGAGCGUGAGAUUGCUCUGACCAAGUCUGCAAAAGAUUUUAUUCAACAGUUUGAGUUGUUGAUGAGGAUUAUACUGGAUGGCCCAAUGCAGAGUUCGGAUGAGGAAUCUAAUUCCAUGUCACCAAAAUGUUGUACCUUCAGGUCUCAGCUUGUAACUUUUUAUAGAGCAUGGUGCACGUACUUGAAUUGCUUUGUGAUGUGGAAGAUCAAGGAUGCUCAAUCCUUGGAAGAGGACCUGGUGAGAGCUGCUUGCCAACUUGAGCUCUCUAUGAUUCAAAAAUGCAAGCUGACACCAGAAGGGGAUAUUGAUGCUCUUAGUCAUGAUAUAAAAGCCAUUCAAAAACAGGUAACAGAAGAUCAAAAGCUUUUGAGGGAAAAGAUACAACAUCUGAGUGGAGAUGCUGGGAUCGAGCGUAUGGAAUAUAUUCUAAUAGAAACAAGAUCCAAAUAUUUCCAAGCUAAGGAAAAUGGAAGUCCAAGAGGGUCACCAGUUGCAAAUAUCCUCUCCUAGCACAUCUAGCUCCCUUGCUGCAAUUCCUCCUGUUGGUAGUUUGAGUGACGAAAGUCAUGUGAUUGAGGAUAUUGAGAAGCCAAGCCGAGUAGUGCGCUCCUUAUUUAGAAAAAAUGUUGCUUUCUCUUCAAAAGGAGUUGGUUCUCCAUGAUGGGUGCUUCUGUUGAAAGGCAGAUAACAGAGAAUGAAUUGAUUAUAAAUGAAUUUCUCCAUGAGCAGUAUCUUAGCUUUGUUGAUAGCUUCAAUGCUGAUGAAGAAAACAACAUCAAGGUGUAACAGACUUUCUCACUUCACUUCACCUUGGAAAGGAACAUUAAGGUAGAUUGCUGGUCGGUUGGGGGUUCUACAAGGGAGAAAAAAAGCUCGUCAACAAGCAUUUCCCAUCAGUCAAAAAUUGGCAUAUUUCCUAUAGGUUCAGGCGAACGCAGGAGGAAAAGGAAGACCUAUCUUGUCUUUCUAAGAUGGCACCUAAGGCUCAGUACAAUAGAGAAAGAGGAAUGAAAUACAACCUAAGGGAAUCAUCCACUAGCCAAAAAACAUGCGGUAGAAGGCCUUAGGCCGAGAAGUAAGGCUUGGAUCACGUCCCAAGAAAUGAAAUUUGAUUUUAUCGGUAAGGUCACAGAUUCCUUAUAAAGAGAAAUUGAUCUUCACAUUGACUGACUGAAUCAAGCAAUUCAACUUUAUAUUUGCCAA